CACGUAGGGCGCAAGCGUUGUCCGGAAUUAUUGGGCGUAAAGAGCUCGUAGGCGGCCGGUUGCGUCUGCUGUGAAAUCCCGGGGCUUAACCCCGGGCGUGCAGUGGAUACGGGCCGGCUGGAGGCAGGCAGGGGAGAAUGGAAUUCCCGGUGUAGCGGUGAAAUGCGCAGAUAUCGGGAGGAACACCGGUGGCGAAGGCGGUUCUCUGGGCCUGUACUGACGCUGAGGCGCGAAAGCCAGGGGAGCAAACGGG
This 253-nucleotide ribosomal RNA is filed under the name uncultured bacterium. Its description in RNAcentral is "partial 16S ribosomal RNA". It matches the Rfam family "Bacterial small subunit ribosomal RNA", at positions 524 to 776 of the family's 1533-position model. The record is from RNAcentral.